RNAcentral lists this ribosomal RNA (477 nucleotides) under uncultured bacterium. RNAcentral describes it as "partial 16S ribosomal RNA". It matches the Rfam family "Bacterial small subunit ribosomal RNA", at positions 28 to 523 of the family's 1533-position model. The record is from RNAcentral.
GAUGAACGCUGGCGGCGUGCUUAACACAUGCAAGUCGAGCGAGUGAGUUCUUCGGAACGAUCUAGCGGCGGACGGGUGAGUAACACGUGGGCAACCUGCCUCAUAGAGGGGAAUAGCCUUCCGAAAGGGAGAUUAAUACCGCAUAACAUCGUUGAAGGGUAUCCUUCGAUGAUCAAAGGAGCAAUCCGCUAUGAGAUGGGCCCGCGGCGCAUUAGCUAGUUGGUGAGGUAACGGCUCACCAAGGCGACGAUGCGUAGCCGACCUGAGAGGGUGAUCGGCCACAUUGGGACUGAGACACGGCCCAGACUCCUACGGGAGGCAGCAGUGGGGAAUAUUGCACAAUGGGGGGAAACCCUGAUGCAGCAACGCCGCGUGAGUGAUGACGGCCUUCGGGCUGUAAAGCUCUGUCUUUGGGGACGAUAAUGACGGUACCCAAGGAGGAAGUCACGGCUAACUACGUGCCAGCCGCCGCUGUAA